This 253-nucleotide ribosomal RNA is filed under the name uncultured bacterium. Its description in RNAcentral is "partial 16S ribosomal RNA". It matches the Rfam family "Bacterial small subunit ribosomal RNA", at positions 524 to 776 of the family's 1533-position model. The record is from RNAcentral.
UACGUAGGGUGCAAGCGUUGUCCGGAAUUAUUGGGCGUAAAGAGCUCGUAGGCGGUCUGUCACGUCGGCUGUGAAAACCCGAGGCUCAACCUCGGGCCUGCAGUCGAUACGGGCAGACUAGAGUUCGGUAGGGGAGACUGGAAUUCCUGGUGUAGCGGUGAAAUGCGCAGAUAUCGGGAGGAACACCGGUGGCGAAGGCGGGUCUCUGGGCCGAAACUGACGCUGAGGAGCGAAAGCGUGGGGAGCGAACAGG